AUUAAAAGACCACUAGAUGGUACAAAGAGAAACCAGACUAGACCAUGAACGCCAAGACCAAAUACAUACUAAAGAACAUGAUUGAAAAGCACAUUAACAAACCAAAAAAGAAACGAUGCAAGUUGUCCAAGGACCACAGGAGACAGACAGACAUCAGAAUGGGGAAGAAAAUCAAAGCCCAGGCAAGAAUCUCCAAGCUAGAAGGACCCAGCUCUGCAUUAACCAGGGACUAAGCAACCAGAACCAAGCUUGGUGCUUUUAAUCCACUCAACCGAACAACAUGCCUAGCUUAAGAAACAAUCCCAGAACAUUAAAAACAAAAUUACGAUAAUGGAAAAAGGGUGUGACCAUUUGGGAGUGGCAUUGGACUAAACGUGGGCAUCGAAUUCUUCGAGGAUGCGGGAGAUGGCUUUGAAG
Molecule: unclassified non-coding RNA, 417 nt
Filed under: Hevea brasiliensis (rubber tree)
Lineage: Eukaryota; Viridiplantae; Streptophyta; Magnoliopsida; Malpighiales; Euphorbiaceae
Source: RNAcentral